This 463-nucleotide ribosomal RNA is filed under the name uncultured bacterium. Its description in RNAcentral is "partial 16S ribosomal RNA". It matches the Rfam family "Bacterial small subunit ribosomal RNA", at positions 28 to 507 of the family's 1533-position model. The record is from RNAcentral.
GAUGAACGCUGACAGAAUGCUUAACACAUGCAAGUCGAUGGGGAAGUGGUGCUUGCACCAUGGCAACCAUGGCGGACGGGUGAGUAACGCGUAAGGGACUUACCUGCAGGACUGGGAUAACAGGGGGAAACUCCUGACAAGACCGGAUAAUGUCAUGGAGCUGCAUGGCUUUAUGAUGAAAGGAGACGCCUGCGGAGAGCCUUGCGUCCUAUUAGCUAGUUGGUGAGGUAAUGGCUCACCAAGGCGAAGAUAGGUAGCCGGCCUGAGAGGGUGGACGGCCACAAGGGGACUGAGAUACGGCCCUUACUCCUACGGGAGGCAGCAGUGGGGAAUAUUGGACAAUGGGGGCAACCCUGAUCCAGCAAUUCUGUGUGCACAAAGAAGGUUUUCGGAUUGUAAAGUGCUUUCAGCAGGGAAGAAGUAAGUGACGGUACCUGCAGAAGAAGCGACGGCUAAAUACGUG